AUUGAACGCUGGCGGCAUGCUUUACACAUGCAAGUCGAACGGUAACAGGCCGCAAGGUGCUGACGAGUGGCGAACGGGUGAGUAAUGCAUCGGAACGUGCCCAGUCGUGGGGGAUAACUACUCGAAAGAGUAGCUAAUACCGCGUACGAUCUAUGGAUGAAAGCGGGGGACCGUAAGGCCUCGCGCGAUUGGAGCGGCCGAUGUCAGAUUAGGUAGUUGGUGGGGUAAAGGCUCACCAAGCCAACGAUCUGUAGCUGGUCUGAGAGGACAACCAGCCACACUGGGACUGAGACACGGCCCAGACUCCUACGGGAGGCAGCAGUGGGGAAUUUUGGACAAUGGGCGCAAGCCUGAUCCAGCAAUGCCGCGUGCAGGAAGAAGGCCUUCGGGUUGUAAACUGCUUUUGUACGGAACGAAACGGCUCUGGUUAAUACCCGGGGCUAAUGACGGUACCGUAAGAAUAAGCACCGGCUAACUACGUG
This 482-nucleotide ribosomal RNA is filed under the name uncultured bacterium. RNAcentral describes it as "partial 16S ribosomal RNA". It matches the Rfam family "Bacterial small subunit ribosomal RNA", at positions 30 to 507 of the family's 1533-position model. The record is from RNAcentral.